GACGAACGCUGGCGGCGUGCCUAAUACAUGCAAGUUGAGCGCUGAAGGUUGGUACUUGUACCAACUGGAUGAGCAGCGAACGGGUGAGUAACGCGUGGGGAAUCUGCCUUUGAGCGGGGGACAACAUUUGGAAACGAAUGCUAAUACCGCAUAAAAACUUUAAACACAAGUUUUAAGUUUGAAAGAUGCAAUUGCAUCACUCAAAGAUGAUCCCGCGUUGUAUUAGCUAGUUGGUGAGGUAAAGGCUCACCAAGGCGAUGAUACAUAGCCGACCUGAGAGGGUGAUCGGCCACAUUGGGACUGAGACACGGCCCAAACUCCUACGGGAGGCAGCAGUAGGGAAUCUUCGGCAAUGGACGAAAGUCUGACCGAGCAACGCCGCGUGAGUGAAGAAGGUUUUCGGAUCGUAAAACUCUGUUGGUAGAGAAGAACGUUGGUGAGAGUGGAAAGCUCAUCAAGUGACGGUAACUUCCCAGAAAGGGACGGCUAACUACGUG
Molecule: ribosomal RNA, 497 nt
Filed under: uncultured bacterium
Lineage: Bacteria
Description: partial 16S ribosomal RNA
Rfam family: Bacterial small subunit ribosomal RNA
Source: RNAcentral